AUUGAACGCUGGCGGCAUGCCUUACACAUGCAAGUCGAACGGCAGCGCGGGAGCAAUCCUGGCGGCGAGUGGCGAACGGGUGAGUAAUACAUCGGAACGUGCCCAAUCGUGGGGGAUAACGCAGCGAAAGCUGUGCUAAUACCGCAUACGAUCUACGGAUGAAAGCAGGGGAUCGCAAGACCUUGCGCGUAUGGAGCGGCCGAUGGCAGAUUAGGUAGUUGGUGAGGUAAAGGCUCACCAAGCCUUCGAUCUGUAGCUGGUCUGAGAGGACGACCAGCCACACUGGGACUGAGACACGGCCCAGACUCCUACGGGAGGCAGCAGUGGGGAAUUUUGGACAAUGGGCGAAAGCCUGAUCCAGCCAUGCCGCGUGCAGGAUGAAGGCCUUCGGGUUGUAAACUGCUUUUGUACGGAACGAAACGGUCUUUUCUAAUAAAGAAGGAUAAUGACGGUACCGUAAGAAUAAGCACCGGCUAACUACGUG
RNAcentral lists this ribosomal RNA (484 nucleotides) under uncultured bacterium. RNAcentral's name for it is "partial 16S ribosomal RNA". It matches the Rfam family "Bacterial small subunit ribosomal RNA", at positions 30 to 507 of the family's 1533-position model. The record is from RNAcentral.